RNAcentral lists this long non-coding RNA (1976 nucleotides) under Homo sapiens (human). Its description in RNAcentral is "non-protein coding lnc-FSIP1-4:28". Lineage: Eukaryota; Metazoa; Chordata; Mammalia; Primates; Hominidae. The record is from RNAcentral.
GAAAUUAAAUGUCACAUAGUCUGCUCUGAGAAAAGAGCCAAGUUCAGGGCAGAGACUACCUUCCUGGGUACCCCCCAAGAAGGAGUCUUGAUCACUUCUCUAAACAUGCCCUGGAUGUUCCCAGAGCUCAUGAAAACGCUGCUCUCCAGUGGUGCUAGCAGCUCUGAUGAAGGCUAAGUCCAAGCUCUGAAUUCAGGAGAGCAGAGCUGCCUCCUGCUCCCACCACCGUGGUUCUCAGGCAGUAAUGGUUCUAUUAUUGGCCAUGUCAAUUGGAGCAACCAUUUGGAAAGUCAUUUGGCAACAUCUCCCAAAGCUGAAUAUACAUGAAGCCUAGGAGCCAGGAAUUCCACUUCCAGGAUAUGCCCAAUAGAAAUGAAUACAUAUGUUCACCAAAAGGCGUGUCCUAGAAUGUUUAUAAUUGUGAACAGACCAAAGCUAGAAACUAUCCAAGUGUCCAUCAACAAUGGAGUGGGAAAUAAAAUGUCUCUUCGUACAAUGGAAUCUACAUAGCAAUGAGAACAAAGAACUUACAAAAGUACACAGCAACAUGGAUGAAAUUCACAAGCAUAAUUCCGAACAAAAAAUGCCAUGUACCAAAAAGCUUAUAGCAUAUGACUCCAUUUAUGUACAGUAGAAAAACAGGCAAAACAGCUAGCCUGUUAGAAGUCAGAAUGGUGGUUACCCUUUGAGGGGCUGUUCCUAGAUGGGGACUCAUGGGGUAAUGUUCAUUCCAUGUCUUGAACUGUGCACUGAUUACACUGGUGUGUUUAGCUUGUGAAAUGUAUCCACCUAUACACUUAUGUGGUUUUCUGUAUGUACAUUAUAUUUCAAUAACAUUUUAAGAAAGUGUUUUGCCACUUAUUAGUUCAUUUGACCCACACAACAGUUCUAGGAGAUAAGAAGGCCAGGUAACUUUUCUUCAGAUUUAUAGAAAGAAAACAGACUCAAAGUUUGGUCCAAGGUCUCAGUGCUAAUUGGUGGUGGAAUCAGGUUAGGUAUGUCAACCUCCUGGGCCAAGAAAGAUAGUCUCUGUUGGAGCACCUUGCACAGUGCUUGAUGCAUAGUAGGUGCUCAAUAAAUUUCAUCUGAAGCUGGAUCAUAGAAUGGUGGCCUUCUAAUCCCACAAGGCUGUUAUCCUGCUGUGGGAGUAACCAUCUUCUCUGGUGGUCUAAUGUCCCUUAUAGAAUGUGCGUAUUCUCUCCUAAGAGAAGAGUGGAGAUGAGGCCUGAGUCAAAUAUCCUAAGAAGCUGCCAAAAUACCUGUGGAGAAUUGCAUAACCUUGUCCCUCUAGGGCUUAGAAAAGAAUGAGUCAGACAGUCAGUUCUCAGACACGGUGCCCAGGAAAACAGGAAGAAGGUUCACUUAGGCAGAAAUCCAUGUAUGUGACCUUGGAUACAUCACUGAACUUCUUCAGGGGCAACAAUUUGAAAGACACAUUUGAGACACUCUGCCUAGGAUGACGUGAUCCUUCUGUAGCUGAUCUUCUGAGACCCGUGAAUUUUAUGUACUAUUUUCUAAUUAUAUUCUCAUUAUUUUCAAGGGCAUCAGACUGCAUUUCAAACUUGACAAUUCCUUUGCUAUAAUUUCAGCUCAAAUUUUGACUAAUUUAUACUUUAAAUACAAAUAUGCCCCAUUUUCUGCUUGUCAUCAUAGUUCAGAAAGAAGUUAUACCGACCAUGUUAUAUAAAGUAAUGAGGGGUCCUAUUCAGCUUGUUAACCAUGUUUCUUAAAAAAAAAAAGUACAAUAGAACUUUCUUUGUCAAUAUAAAAUUCGAGUUAUUUAUGAUGUGGCUAAAGAUAUGAUAAGAAGUCUCAGGAAUGGAAUCUGUUAUUGCUUGGAAAAUAAAAUCUCAAGACCUUCUUUGGAAAAAAAUGGAGAGUGAUAAAAUGCUUUCAUUUAGGGCUUGGCUGUGAUGUCAAGGUCAGCCAAUGAGCUUAGAGGGAAUCUGAGAAAAAUAAAGAGAAAAAUAGAAACA